This 253-nucleotide ribosomal RNA is filed under the name uncultured bacterium. Its description in RNAcentral is "partial 16S ribosomal RNA". It matches the Rfam family "Bacterial small subunit ribosomal RNA", at positions 524 to 776 of the family's 1533-position model. The record is from RNAcentral.
UACAGAGGAUGCAAGCGUUAUCCGGAAUGAUUGGGCGUAAAGCGUCUGUAGGUGGCUUUUUAAGUCCGCCGUCAAAUCCCAGGGCUCAACUCUGGACAGGCGGUGGAAACUACCAAGCUGGAGUACGGUAGGGGCGAGUGGAAUUCCUGGUGUAGCGGUGAAAUGCGCAGAUAUCAGGAGGAACACCAAUGGCGAAGGCAGCUCGCUGGGACGUGACUGACGCUGAGACGCGAAAGCGUGGGGAGCAAACAGG